AACACGUAGAAGGACCUGACCCUCAGGGGAGCUACUAUGCUUAUUCCUGUUUUAGAGAGAAGGCCGUCGAGGCGAAGGAAGCAUCUUGCCCAGGAUGGUAUAGCUGCUGGGGCAGAGCCGGGAUCCUUGGCUCCACGGAAGCACACACCUGAAUCACACCUGCAUCGAGGCCGAAAUAAAGAAUAUCACCAACUUCCCAAGUGACCUGGGUGUGGGAGAGUUGAUGAAGGAUACUGAAAAAGCAGCAAGGGGAAAACACACC
Long non-coding RNA from Mirounga angustirostris (Northern elephant seal), 262 nucleotides. RefSeq lists it as uncharacterized. The record is from RefSeq and is a predicted model, not a curated record. The transcript has 3 exons. Lineage: Eukaryota; Metazoa; Chordata; Mammalia; Carnivora; Phocidae.